AUUAAACGCUGGCGGCAUGCCUUACACAUGCAAGUCGAACGGCAGCACGGGGCAACCUGGUGGCGAGUGGCGAACGGGUGAGUAAAGCAUCGGAACGUGCCCUGGAGUGGGGGAUAACGUAGCGAAAGUUACGCUAAUACCGCAUAUUCUGUGAGCAGGAAAGCAGGGGGAUCGCAAGACCUUGCGCUCUGGGAGCGGCCGAUGUCGGAUUAGCUAGUUGGUGGGGUAAAGCCUACCAAGGCGACGAUCCGUAGCGGGUCUGAGAGGAUGAUCCGCCACACUGGGACUGAGACACGGCCCAGACUCCUAC
This 310-nucleotide ribosomal RNA is filed under the name uncultured bacterium. Its description in RNAcentral is "bacterial SSU rRNA". It matches the Rfam family "Bacterial small subunit ribosomal RNA", at positions 30 to 342 of the family's 1533-position model. The record is from RNAcentral.